This 452-nucleotide ribosomal RNA is filed under the name uncultured ammonia-oxidizing bacterium. RNAcentral describes it as "partial 16S ribosomal RNA". The record is from RNAcentral.
CACACUAUCCAAUCAACUUUGUGACACCAUCCAUCAUGCUCCCAGGUGCAUUGAUGCUGGAUAUCACCCUGUAUCUGACACGUAACUGGUUGGUUACCGCGUUGGUUGGUGGUGGAUUCUUUGGUUUAUUCUUCUAUCCGGGCAACUGGGUAAUUUUUGGACCAACCCACUUGCCAGUCGUUGUUGAAGGUGUAUUGCUGUCAAUGGCUGAUUACAUGGGACACCUCUACAUCCGUACAGGUACACCGGAAUAUGUACGCUUGAUUGAGCAAGGUUCAUUGCGUACCUUUGGUGGUCAUACCACAGUGAUUGCUGCAUUCUUUGCAGCGUUCGUAUCCAUGCUGAUGUUCGUUGUUUGGUGGUACCUAGGCAAAGUUUACUGUACAGCCUUCUUCUACGUUAAAGGUAAGAGAGGCCGUAUUGUGAAAAGAGACGACGUUACAGCGUUUGGU